AGGUUUCGUGGUCUAGUUGGUUAUGGCAUCUCGCUCACACCGAGAAGGUCCCCGGUUCGAGCCCGGGCGUAACCUU
This 76-nucleotide transfer RNA is filed under the name Fusarium pseudograminearum CS3427. RNAcentral's name for it is "tRNA-Val". It matches the Rfam family "tRNA". From Rfam's summary of the family: Transfer RNA (tRNA) molecules are approximately 80 nucleotides in length. Lineage: Eukaryota; Fungi; Ascomycota; Sordariomycetes; Hypocreales; Nectriaceae. RNAcentral also lists the same sequence under 3 other names. The record is from RNAcentral.